UUGGAGGGCAAGUCUGGUGCCAGCAGCCGCGGUAAUUCCAGCUCCAAUAGCGUAUAUUAAAGUUGUUGCAGUUAAAAAGCUCGUAGUUGAAUUUCGGGGUUAGUAGGUUGGUCAUGCCUCUGGUAUGUACUGGUCUCACUGAUUCCUCCUUCCUGAUGAACCGUAAUGCCAUUAAUUUGGUGUUGCGGGGAAUUUGGACUGUUACUUUGAAAAAAUUAGAGUGUUUAAAGCAAGCUAACGCUUGAAUACAUUAGCAUGGAAUAAUGAAAUAGGACGUUCGAUCCUAUUUUGUUGGUUUCUAGGAUUGACGUAAUGAUUAAUAGGGAUAGUUGGGGGCAUUAGUAUUCAAUUGUCAGAGGUGAAAUUCUUGGAUUUAUUGAAGACUAACUACUGCGAAAGCAUUUGCCAAGGAUGUUUUCAUUAAUCAAGAACGAAAGUUAGGGGAUCGAAGACGAUCAGAUACCGUCGUAGUCUUAACCAUAAACUAUGCCGACUAGGGAUCGGAUGAUGUUAAUUUUUUUAAUGACUCAUUCGGCGCCUUACGGGAAAC
Molecule: ribosomal RNA, 550 nt
Filed under: Glomus sp. C/1-6
Lineage: Eukaryota; Fungi; Glomeromycota; Glomeromycetes; Glomerales; Glomeraceae
Description: SSU rRNA
Rfam family: Eukaryotic small subunit ribosomal RNA
Source: RNAcentral